This 595-nucleotide long non-coding RNA is filed under the name Nicotiana benthamiana. RNAcentral's name for it is "long non-coding RNA (NBEN_LNC025754)". Lineage: Eukaryota; Viridiplantae; Streptophyta; Magnoliopsida; Solanales; Solanaceae. The record is from RNAcentral.
ACCCACCUCCCAAAAAAAAGAGGAGCUACCAGACUUUUCCCUUGGGACUUAAACCCCCAACAUGGAUGUUUCUUCCCACUAGCCUAUCCUUCAUUGUCAUCAAAAUAGGCUUACAAAGAUGAACAUAUAAUACAAAAGACGUUAAUACAGUUGCAGGUUAAUAAGCUGAGCCUGCUGAUCUGGUUUCCCACUGUAAAAGAAGUAAUACGUACCACACAAAGAGUUCUAAAUUUAGAGAGUCUACACUUGUUUUUAAGGAAAUUUCAAAAUAAAAUUUUUUAACCAAACUAUUGGACUUCUUACUAUACUGUGGGAACUGUCACUUAAGCUGAAAAUACCAUCAUACUACACCUACAACAACAACAACAACCACCCAGUAUAUUCCCACCAGGUGGGGUCUGGGGAGGGUAAUAUGUAGACGAGCCUUACCCCUCCAGUAUAUUCCCACCAGGUGGGGUCUGGGGAGGUUAAUAUGUAGACGAGCCUUACCCCUACCCGAAAGGGUAGAGAGGCGGUUUCCAUUCGACCCUCGGCGCAUAGGAUAAAAUGAAAAGCUGCAUUAAAACAAAAACAAAAUGAUUAGCAAGCCUUCAAC